AAAAAAACAAACAAAACUCAGAAAAGCAAACAGACCCAAAAACGGAAAUCUCCCCCCAAACGCCCCCGCGUCUCCCUCACGUUCUCUCCCUCGUCUCCUUCACCCGUCCCUCUCUCUCCAAACUCCCUCCCUCGCGCGAACCCAACGCGAGUCAAUCGCGUCAUUUUUCUCUCCCUUGCUAGUACGCUUCGCAGCAGAAGGGCAGACUGGAUUUCAGCUCUGCCAAACGUGAUUCGUCCUUGCAGCGUGGGAUUGCGCAACGUAGCUUGCAAGGACGUCGAUUUCAUCUCGACCCUCCAACUCUUUCCCAUUUGAAUCGUUCUUUUGGAUAAGAUUUGAGGGUUUUCGGAUUUGAAUUGGAAAUGGGCCUAAAAGUAGCGUCCAGCCCUCUUCAUCCAAAAAAACCCUAAAUUUUCCCUUCUAUAUAAACCCACACCUUCUUCAGGGUAAGGGGUUAGAUUUUUCGGGGUUAGAAAUUGGGUUGGGAGAUUUUUAGGUUGGAAAAUUCCGGGUUGAAAUUUCUUUCGCCUUUUCUGUUUGCUCCGAGAAAACUUAAAAGGAAAAUCGGGUUGGGAAGUUCAUCUUAGGCGCCUUAAAGAUUUUCUGCUGUUCUUCUCCUGUCCUGUUUUGAGAGAAACGUUCUGUUUCAUUAACAGUAUUCGAUUGCGGUGUCCGUCGAAACGUCGUAGCAGUCUCAGCGCGUUCUCUUUCGUCUGAGGGUGAAGUCGCUGCUCGGUGUCGUCCCUAUUUCGCUGCCAUCGAAGAGGUAAAUUCUUUCAUAUUCAUAUGUUUUCCUCAUUCGUGUGUGUUUAUUGACUGACAUGGAGAAUUUGGUUGUGGCUGCUUGUGGGAAUUCUGAUUUGUUUCCCGUCAAAUCAUUAAGUGUUGAAAGUGUGAUCUUCUUUGUUGAUUUGAAUCCAUUGUUUGGUUGUUAAGCCCUCAAAUUGGUAUUCCCUUUGCUGCUUGCAUCCUGUCUCAAACAUUAGACGUGAUGUAAAGAAUGCUUACGGGUUUCUAUAUUUUCAACUCUGUUUCGGCCUAUUGGUUUUGAUUUUCCCUCGUUUGGGUAGCACUGUUCCAGCACUAUUAAACUGCUUAUAGGCUGCGUAGUGUAUUUAGUAGUGUAUUUAGUCGCAGAGAGGCAUAUUAGGUUUAUUUGUCGUCUCGCUCGUCGGAUAGCUUUGUUCUUUGCUUGGUUCGUCGCUGCUGUAUUAAAAUUUGUUGGUUUGAAUGGAGCUAGCCAGUAGGUUAACGCGCCAAGUGAUUUACUUAUGCGAGAUAUUCGUCUCCGAGUACCCAUGAAUGCAUAGGAUGGCGCGUGAGCUCGCUUUGUGUUUUCUUUUGGUUUUUAUUCUACCUUACUGUCGGGUCUUCUUUGUGUGGUAUUGAAAGUUGUAACUUGAUUAAAGUUCAUUCCUUCUGAUGAGCAUCUCUGGGGUCUGCUGCUAGACAUUCAAAGGUCUCAAAGCUGCAUUCGCGUUUUAUCUAUUUAGCAACUUAAGCAACUCCAUGAUUUAUUCUUUUUCUUGCUAAAGUAUUGAAGUCGUGUAUUUCUUUAGUUUUGUUAAAAUCCUGUUCGCAGAAAGGUGAUUUACAUACCUUAUAAGCAUGCUUACUAUAUUUUAAAGCUUGGGUGGGAAUGAUUUGAUCAGCUUGUCUUGUUUGUUUCUGUUUUAGAUAAACUCAUUAUAGUUGAAGUAGUUGUUUCAACAUGAUUAUCAUUAGUUCCCUGCCUAGCAGUUCUUUAGGAUUUUUGUAAGCAUAAAUUUAUUUUAAUUGAUUCCUCCUUUCGUCAUUAUUCAUAUAUGUGGUUUGUUCCCAUAGCUUCGUAGUUGUUCAAGUACUGCAAUAAGUUUAUUUGCCUUUGUUGCUCCAUCUUGACUAUCUUGUGUGGAUAUCCUUAAUUUGCGUGAUUCCUUAAACGUCCGUUACGCCACCUUUUUUUUUUACUUUAAAGUUUUACUCAUCUACGUGUUAUUCUAUGGUCCCUUUAAAUGAAAUUACUUGUCUAGUUGCACUUUUGGUUUAAAAUGUAUUUGUAGGUUGGUUCAUUCAUCUUGCAUUUGUAUUAUUGGAUCAGAGAGUUGACUCACUUCUCUGUUUUAUAUAUGCAUGAAAUCUGCUCGAGUCCAUGCGAACUUCUUCCUUAUCUUUGCAUUUUGGUUUGGUCGUGGAGGCCCAGUACUCUUGUCCGUCGAGUCAACCCAUCAAGACCGAAGUGCAAUUUCAGAAUUGCGUAGAUUGAAGAAAAUCCAAAAGCGGAUUAGGAGACUUUUUCUCUAUUUUUUAUUCCUUCGUAUUUAUUUGUAAUGGGCAUAAGCCCUUGUUGCUCUCCCCUUUUAUUUUUUUUAUUUCAUUUUGUAUGUUUAGACUAGGACAGGUGAAUGGGUCAAAACCCAAAAACAGGUGGGUCCAAAAUUCGGUCAAGGCGAACAGAACUUGAAUCUGGACCCAAAAUCUCUCUCUCUCUCUCCCUCUCUCUUUAUUAUUUGCUUACGUUUUUUUUGUUUACUCGAAUGCCGUUAGUUGAGGGUUAGAAUAACUCCAAUCCCAUCAAAACGCCUUUCUAUUUUUCAAACUUAAAACUAAAACUAAGUCUUAAAGCGAUAAAUAUUUCCAAUUUGUAAAUUCGCCUAAGUUAAAUUCUAAUAAGUUCAAAUAACAAAAGAUUCGCAAACGUUAAAAUAUAAUAGUCAAAUUGUUAAACGCCGAAAAACUGUAGUUAGUGGAGCGUCUUAGGUGCUUUUUCGAAACCUUCCUAAGACGCUAAUAGGAAUCCCGAACCCUUAAAAGUUUUCAAACGAUUUUCUGUUUAUUAUUUGAAAACAAGUUUUUCUUAAUUUUUCUCAAAAUUAAGUGGCGACUCCUAAAAGUCGAAAAUAUCUUUAAAACAAAACAAACUCAUUUCGAAAUUAUAUUUCCGAUACAACAUAUAUUAUAUUUCUUGCUCAAGUAUCUAUAGUUAAUUAAAUAUAUUAAUAACCUAAAAAUAAGAUAAGUAACUUUAAAUAGCAAGUUAAUUACAACAAUUAUAACAUGUAGGGUGUGUUUGGCAUGAAGGAAAAUGUUUUCCAUGGAAAAUGUUUUCCUAGAAAAUGUUUUUCUAGAAAACAAGUAGAUUUUGGACUUAUUUUCUCAUGUUUGGUUGGUGAGUAGAAAAUAUUUUUUGGAAAUGAUUUUUAGUGUUUGAUUUAUGAAUGAAUAAUAUUUUUGAGGAACAUCUUUUAUUUUUACUAGAG
This 3239-nucleotide long non-coding RNA is filed under the name Solanum lycopersicum (tomato). Its description in RNAcentral is "partial TCONS_00185867". The record is from RNAcentral. Lineage: Eukaryota; Viridiplantae; Streptophyta; Magnoliopsida; Solanales; Solanaceae.